GAUGAACGCUGGCGGCGUGCCUAAUACAUGCAAGUCGAGCGAACAUACUAGGAGCUUGCUCCUUUGACGUUAGCGGCGGAAGGGUGAGUAACACGUGGAUAACCUACCUAUCAGACUGGGAUAACUUCGGGAAACCGGGGCUAAUACCGGAUAAUAUAUUGAACCGCAUGGUUCAAUAGUGAACGACGGUUUUGCUGUCACUUAUAGAUGGAUCGGCGCCGCAUUAGCUAGUUGGUAAGGUAACGGCUUACCAAGGCGACGAUGCGUAGCCGACCUGAGAGGUGGAUCGCCCACUUUGGAAUGGGAACAGGGCCAGGCCUCUUACGGGAGGAAGAAUGGGGGAAUCUUCCGCAUGGGGGGAAGGCCGGACGGAGCAACGCGGGUGGAGUGAGGAGGGUCUUCGUAUCUAAAGACUCUGUUAUUAGGGAGGAACAAAUGUGUAAGUAAAUAUGCACGUCUUGACGGUACUUAAUCAGAAAGCCACGGCUAACUACGUG
RNAcentral lists this ribosomal RNA (497 nucleotides) under uncultured bacterium. Its description in RNAcentral is "partial 16S ribosomal RNA". It matches the Rfam family "Bacterial small subunit ribosomal RNA", at positions 28 to 507 of the family's 1533-position model. The record is from RNAcentral.